RNAcentral lists this ribosomal RNA (462 nucleotides) under uncultured bacterium. Its description in RNAcentral is "partial 16S ribosomal RNA". It matches the Rfam family "Bacterial small subunit ribosomal RNA", at positions 28 to 506 of the family's 1533-position model. The record is from RNAcentral.
GACGAACGCUGGCGGCGUGCUUAACACAUGCAAGUCGAACGGAAAGGCCUUUUCGGAGGUACUCGAGUGGCGAACGGGUGAGUAACACGUGGGUGAUCUGCCCUGCACUCUGGGAUAAGCCUGGGAAACUGGGUCUAAUACCGGAUAGGACCGCACUUUAGUGUGUGUGGUGGAAAGUUUUUUCGGUGUAGGAUGAGCCCGCGGCCUAUCAGCUUGUUGGUGGGGUAAUGGCCUACCAAGGCGGCGACGGGUAGCCGGACUGAGAGGUUGGUCGGCCACAUUGGGACUGAGAUACGGCCCAGACUCCUCCGGGAGGAAGCAGGGGGGAAUAGUCCACAAUGGGCGGAAGCCGGAUGCAGCGACGCCGCGUGGGGGAUGACGGCCUUCGGGUUGUAACCUCCUUUCGCCGGGGACGAAGCGUUUUGUGACGGUACCUGGAAAAGAAGCACCGGCUAACUACGU